GAGUCUGCUGCCCACCUGCUAUUUCAGUGUAGAUUCACGAAUAGAGUUUGGAAUGAGAUUACCAUUUGGCUGGGAAUCCACGACUGCUCACCGAUGAUUUGACGAAAUGAAGUUUCGGUUCGAACUUGGUGGCAAAAGGCGGUGAGCAACACGGAUCAUAACAGAAAGGCUCUUGGCCCCAUUAUGAUGCUUGUCUCAUGGGAGAUAUGAAAAGAACGAAAUGCCAGAAUUUUUCGCAACGCCGCGACUCCAACCACACUUAUCGUCACGAGAAUUAAAGAGGAGGCCCGCCUGUGGACUUUGGCUGGGGCCAAGCAUUUGAGUAGGCUCAUGUUGCGAGAGUAG
This 345-nucleotide ribosomal RNA is filed under the name Triticum aestivum (bread wheat). RNAcentral's name for it is "partial small subunit ribosomal RNA". Lineage: Eukaryota; Viridiplantae; Streptophyta; Magnoliopsida; Poales; Poaceae. The record is from RNAcentral.